AGUGAACGCUGGCGGUAGGCCUAACACAUGCAAGUCGAACGGCCGCACAGUAAGAUCUUGCUCUUACGGGUGGCGAGUGGCGGACGGGUGAGGAAUACAUCGGAAUCUUCUUUUUCGUGGGGGAUAACGUAGGGAAAUUUAUGCUAAUACCGCAUACUACCUACGGGUUAAAGCAGGGGAUCUUCGGACUUUGCCCGUUAGAAUGAGCCGAUGUCGCAUUAGCUAGUUGGCGGGGUAAAGGCCCACCAAGGCAACGAUCCGUAGCUGAUCUGAGAGGAUGAUCAGCCACACUGGAACUGAGACACGGUCCAGACUCCUACGGGAGGCAGCAGUGGGGAAUAUUGGGCAAAGGGCGCAAGCCUGAUCCAGCCAUACCGCGUGGGUGAAGAAGGUCUUCGGGUUGUAAAGCCCUGUUGUUGGGAAAGAAAAGCAGCAGGUUAAUACCCCGAUAUUCUGACGGUACCCAAAGAAUAAGCACCGGCUAACUUCGUG
This 492-nucleotide ribosomal RNA is filed under the name uncultured bacterium. RNAcentral's name for it is "partial 16S ribosomal RNA". It matches the Rfam family "Bacterial small subunit ribosomal RNA", at positions 29 to 507 of the family's 1533-position model. The record is from RNAcentral.